RNAcentral lists this ribosomal RNA (680 nucleotides) under uncultured bacterium. RNAcentral's name for it is "bacterial SSU rRNA". It matches the Rfam family "Bacterial small subunit ribosomal RNA", at positions 62 to 760 of the family's 1533-position model. The record is from RNAcentral.
UCUAUGAGGAGUUUAGCUUGCUAAUGGACUCAUGGCGGACGGGUGAGUAACGCGUAAAGAACUUGCCCUUUAGACUGGGAUAACAGAGGGAAACUUCUGAUAAUACUGGAUAAGUUAGUAUAUCGCAUGAUAUGCAAAUGAAAGCUACGGCACUAAAGGAGAGCUUUGCGUCCUAUUAGCUAGUUGGUAAGGUAAGAGCUUACCAAGGCGAUGAUAGGUAGCCGGCCUGAGAGGGUGGACGGCCACAAGGGGACUGAGAUACGGCCCUUACUCCUACGGGAGGCAGCAGUGGGGAAUAUUGGACAAUGGAGGGAACUCUGAUCCAGCAAUUCUGUGUGUGUGAAGAAGGUUUUAGGACUGUAAAACACUUUUAGUAGGGAAGAAAAAAAUGACGGUACCUACAGAAGAAGCAACGGCUAAAUACGUGCCAGCAGCCGCGGUAAUACGUAUGUUGCGAGCGUUAUCCGGAAUUAUUGGGCUUAAAGGGCAUCUAGGCGGUAAGACAAGUUGAAGGUGAAAACCUGUGGCUCAACCAUAGGCUUGCCUACAAAACUGUUGAACUAGAGUACUGGAAAGGUGGGUGGAACUACACGAGUAGAGGUGAAAUUCGUAGAUAUGUGUAGGAAUGCCGAUGAUGAAGAUAACUCACUGGACAGAAACUGACGCUGAAGUGCGAAAGC